ACGUAGGGGGCGAGCGUUGUCCGGAUUUACUGGGCGUAAAGAGCACGUAGGCGGCCUUGCAAGUCAGUUGUGAAAGCCUUUCGCUUAACGGAAGAACGGCAUCUGAUACUACAGGGCUUGAGUACGGGAGGGGAGAGUGGAACUUCUGGUGGAGCGGUGAAAUGCGUAGAUAUCAGAAGGAACGCCGGCGGCGAAAGCGACUCUCUGGUCCGAAACUGACGCUGAGUAUGCGAAAGCUAGGGGAGCAAACGG
Molecule: ribosomal RNA, 252 nt
Filed under: uncultured prokaryote
Description: partial 16S ribosomal RNA
Rfam family: Bacterial small subunit ribosomal RNA
Source: RNAcentral